Molecule: transfer RNA, 72 nt
Filed under: Eubacteriales bacterium
Lineage: Bacteria; Bacillati; Bacillota; Clostridia; Eubacteriales
Description: tRNA-Ala
Rfam family: tRNA
About the family: Transfer RNA (tRNA) molecules are approximately 80 nucleotides in length. Their secondary structure includes four short double-helical elements and three loops (D, anti-codon, and T loops).
Source: RNAcentral
GUGGGAGUAGCUCAAUGGGGAGAGUGCUUGCCUCGCCGGCAAAAGAUGAGGGUUCGAGUCCCUACUCCUGCA